RNAcentral lists this ribosomal RNA (481 nucleotides) under uncultured bacterium. RNAcentral describes it as "bacterial SSU rRNA". It matches the Rfam family "Bacterial small subunit ribosomal RNA", at positions 44 to 507 of the family's 1533-position model. The record is from RNAcentral.
AGGCCUAACACAUGCAAGUCGAACGGCGAGCCGGGGGGUAGCUUGCUACCCUGCCGGCGAGUGGCGGACGGGUGAGUAAUGCCUGGGGAGCUGCCCAAUCGAGGGGGAUACCAGUUGGAAACGACUGCUAAUACCGCAUACGCCCUGAGGGGGAAAAGGUCGGGGAUCUUCGGGACCUACCGCGAUUGGAUGCACCCAGGUGGGAUUAGCUAGUUGGUGAGGUAACGGCUCACCAAGGCGACGAUCUCUAGGCUGGUCUGAGAGGAUGAUCAGCCACACUGGGACUGAGACACGGCCCAGACUCCUACGGGAGGCAGCAGUGGGGGAAUUUUGGACAAUGGACGCAAGUCUGAUCCAGCCAUUCCGCGUGCAGGAUGAAGGCCCUCGGGUUGUAAACUGCUUUUGUACGGAACGAAAAGGUUUCUAUUAAUACUAGGAGCUCAUGACGGUACCGUAAGAAUAAGCACCGGCUAACUACGUG